Non-coding RNA from Phrynosoma platyrhinos (Desert horned lizard), 72 nucleotides. NCBI's taxonomy places the organism in Eukaryota, Metazoa, Chordata, Lepidosauria, Squamata, Phrynosomatidae. The record is from the annotation of a GenBank genome assembly.
GCCAAAGUGGUGCAGUGGUUUGAGCGUUGGACUGUGACUCUGGAGACCAGGGUUUGAAUCUCUGCUUGGCCA